CUUAAAGCUGAAAUAAUUUGCAGCUGCUGGUCCUUUCACUCACACUGUAUGGGCAGGAACUCCUGCUACCAUAAACCCUCAGGAUUUUGGACACAGUAGCAGCACCACAGGCUGUCGCUGAUUAAAGAUGGGCUUGGCAACUGGAGCAACGGGACUUGAGGAGGCAAUUCCCUGCUGAGUCAGAAACCCAGAGCCAAAAACCUAGGAGGUCUCUUCCAGAGCCGCCCUGCUUGCAACCAGCUCCUGAUUCUCUCUUGUCUGGGUUCAGCCAGAGUGACGAAGACAUUAAUUUCCAUUUUUUGGUGUACAGCAAAGCAGACUAACCUUUGGUUAGAGCACAGCUCUCACAGUUAUUAACAAUGAAUAGCAAAUCCUC
This is a long non-coding RNA of Empidonax traillii (willow flycatcher), 376 nucleotides long. RefSeq lists it as uncharacterized. The transcript is spliced from 3 exons. NCBI's taxonomy places the organism in Eukaryota, Metazoa, Chordata, Aves, Passeriformes, Tyrannidae. The record is from RefSeq and is a predicted model, not a curated record.